RNAcentral lists this ribosomal RNA (247 nucleotides) under uncultured bacterium. RNAcentral describes it as "partial 16S ribosomal RNA". It matches the Rfam family "Bacterial small subunit ribosomal RNA", at positions 523 to 769 of the family's 1533-position model. The record is from RNAcentral.
AUACGGAGGGUGCAAGCGUUGUUCGGAAUUACUGGGCGUAAAGGGCGCGUAGGCGGCGCUGUAAGUCAGAUGUGAAAGUCCACGGCUCAACCGUGGAAGUGCAUCUGAUACUGCAGCGCUUGAGUAUCGGAGGGGAAAGUAGAAUUCCCGGUGUAGCGGUGAAAUGCGUAGAUAUCUGGAAGAACACCAGUAGCGAAGGCGGCUCUCUGGACUGAUACUGACGCUAAAGCGCGAAGGCUUGGGUAGC